RNAcentral lists this ribosomal RNA (467 nucleotides) under uncultured bacterium. RNAcentral's name for it is "partial 16S ribosomal RNA". It matches the Rfam family "Bacterial small subunit ribosomal RNA", at positions 28 to 506 of the family's 1533-position model. The record is from RNAcentral.
GACGAACGCUGGCGGCGUGCUUAACACAUGCAAGUCGAACGGAAAGGCCCUGCUUUUGUGGGGUGCUCGAGUGGCGAACGGGUGAGUAACACGUGAGUAACCUGCCCUUGACUUUGGGAUAACUUCAGGAAACUGGGGCUAAUACCGGAUAGGAGCUCCUGCUGCAUGGUGGGGGUUGGAAAGUUUCGGCGGUUGGGGAUGGACUCGCGGCUUAUCAGCUUGUUGGUGGGGUAGUGGCUUACCAAGGCUUUGACGGGUAGCCGGCCUGAGAGGGUGACCGGCCACAUUGGGACUGAGAUACGGCCCAGACUCCUACGGGAGGCAGCAGUGGGGAAUAUUGCACAAUGGGCGGAAGCCUGAUGCAGCAACGCCGCGUGCGGGAUGACGGCCUUCGGGUGGUAAACCGCUUUCGCCUGUGACUAAGCGUGAGUGACGGUAAUGGGUAAAGAAGCACCGGCUAACUACGU